This is a long non-coding RNA of Rhipicephalus sanguineus (brown dog tick), 1488 nucleotides long. RefSeq lists it as uncharacterized. The record is from RefSeq and is a predicted model, not a curated record. NCBI's taxonomy places the organism in Eukaryota, Metazoa, Arthropoda, Arachnida, Ixodida, Ixodidae. The transcript is spliced from 3 exons.
UCUUUAAUUGCGCUUACUGCGAGCCAACACCUGCUCAAAUAGUGGACGAUUUGCUGCGAGCACUGCGCAGACAUUGCCAUCGCCAUCAUGGCGCCCGGCGUGUUUGGAGUUCGGAUAGAUCAGACUCUUCGUUGGCCUCGUUUUUAGGUGUUUGAUCCGUGACGUUUCGUCGAAAAAUCACAAGCGCGCAUGCCGUAGGUGUUUGCCUGGUUGCAAGAUCUUGCCGAUUUCAACGUUUUCCCACCUCUUCGGUUGGCGUACGCUGAACUGGACCCUCGCAGCAAGAAUGGCACGUGGGAAUUGACACCGCGAUCGUGGAACACAUGGCUGAUCUGCCUCGAAUAACUGCAAGCCGGCGCGUGCGUAGUGCCGUGGAGAACGAUCAGAAGUCCUGGACGACAAAGAAAAAAACUUCAAAGGUUUGUUGUACAUGUUUUCCACGGCAACUGACAUAAACGUAAAAAAAAUUGGAAUGGUCAAAUGCAUGUGUCAAGUUUAACCAUUUGUAGUGGGCUGUGGACAUGAAUUAAGCAUUGCUGCACACAAGACUGGCUUGCCCUCAGUUUAUGCCCAGUACCAAAUUUUUUGCUCUCAUUAUGACACCAUUUGUAAGAAAAACCAGAACUUAUGUUCAAAACAGCGCAUAUUCUUGCUAUUCUUUUAUUCAAUUGCACGUGUGAGUCCUGCUGCUGGCCAUCAGUUAGCCGGUUAUCAGAAGAAAAGGGCACAGCCCAGUUUUGUACUGGUAUAUACCGUAUCGUUUGUGAUUAUGAUCAUGAUUUUUGUCUUACUGAAACAAGAAACUGAAAAAUAUAUGUUGGUGUUUCUGCUACAUCUCUAUGAAGCAGCAGAACCUGUUGCUCAGUCGCUUGGUGCAUAUUAGCAACUGGCACCUUGUCUGGCUUCCCGAUACCUCCGCCUUUUUUCAGUGCAUGUUGUUUUCAUCCUUUACCAGCAGUCAAGUAGUUUCACACAACCGAAAUGACCAACCAGCCCACUCUCUUUGUCAAGUAGGUUUUACUUCCAAACAAAUGUAGCACAUUUGUGAUAUGCACUGUUGCUCAAUGAUAUUCUUUUUGCAUGUGCUAGCUGUGUACACAUAUUACAUGAUCUUUUUUCUUUUUUUUCAGCUGCUUCUAGUAGUGGUGCCCCUGGUGUGCACCUUUACCCCAAAUGUCUGCACCUUUGCCUACCGGUAAUGACAUAGAAUGUGCUCAGCUUCCUGGACAUAGGCAUGCAGGUUACGAGACGGAAAACGUGCAGCUUAGACUUCAUGCUUGUAAAUGCGAAAGUCGUAACCGACAUAAUUAGAGUAAGCUAAAAGGAGAAAUUUCUGCUUAUGAGCAAGUAAUUAUGAAGCAGGUUUUACUCCUCUUAAACUAGCAGACAUGCAACAACACAGUUGUGCUAUGUUUGUUUUGUGCGCCACUUUCAUGCAUAUUUGUGCUUGCAGUGGAUAUGCAUAUGCAUGAAGGAUUUGUUUUUGUU